GACGAACGCUGGCGGCGUGCCUAAUACAUGCAAGUCGAGCGAGCUUGCCUAGAUGAAUUUGGUGCUUGCACCAAAUGAAACUAGAUACAAGCGAGCGGCGGACGGGUGAGUAACACGUGGGUAACCUGCCCAAGAGACUGGGAUAACACCUGGAAACAGAUGCUAAUACCGGAUAACAACACUAGACGCAUGUCUAGAGUUUAAAAGAUGGUUCUGCUAUCACUCUUGGACGGACCUGCGGUGCAUUAGCUAGUUGGUAAGGUAACGGCUUACCAAGGCAAUGAUGCAUAGCCGAGUUGAGAGACUGAUCGGCCACAUUGGGACUGAGACACGGCCCAAACUCCUACGGGAGGCAGCAGUAGGGAAUCUUCCACAAUGGACGCAAGUCUGAUGGAGCAACGCCGCGUGAGUGAAGAAGGGUUUCGGCUCGUAAAGCUCUGUUGGUAGUGAAGAAAGAUAGAGGUAGUAACUGGCCUUUAUUUGACGGUAGUUACUUAGAAAGUCACGGCUAACUACGUGCCAGCAGCCGCGGUAAUACGUAGGUGGCAAGCGUUGUCCGGAUUUAUUGGGCGUAAAGCGAGUGCAGGCGGUUCAAUAAGUCUGAUGUGAAAGCCUUCGGCUCAACCGGAGAAUUGCAUCAGAAACUGUUGAACUUGAGUGCAGAAGAGGAGAGUGGAACUCCAUGUGUAGCGGUGGAAUGCGUAGAUAUAUGGAAGAACACCAGUGGCGAAGGCGGCUCUCUGGUCUGCAACUGACGCUGAGGCUCGAAAGCAUGGGUAGCGAACAGG
RNAcentral lists this ribosomal RNA (788 nucleotides) under uncultured Lactobacillus sp. RNAcentral's name for it is "bacterial SSU rRNA". It matches the Rfam family "Bacterial small subunit ribosomal RNA", at positions 28 to 776 of the family's 1533-position model. The record is from RNAcentral. Lineage: Bacteria; Bacillati; Bacillota; Bacilli; Lactobacillales; Lactobacillaceae.